Molecule: long non-coding RNA, 3885 nt
Filed under: Homo sapiens (human)
Lineage: Eukaryota; Metazoa; Chordata; Mammalia; Primates; Hominidae
Description: HSALNT0036662
Source: RNAcentral
GAGAGUACACUUCUUUCUUCUUGAGCCUAGUUCUGGGCCUGAAAUCAGGAAAGAUCUAUUUACUCCUUUUCUGAUGUGGUGGGAGAUGGGGGCUGAUAAGGAAACCUGCCAUGGGAAUGCGAAAACCUCCACCUUGCCGUCAGUUCAUCUGGUGGUAUAUCCCUGAGGCUUCCAUUUCUCUUGGGUUAUCUUUGCAAGGUGGUUAUGCCAGAGGAUCACAGGUGAGCAGUGUCAACUCUCACCUUUCCUAUAAGAGCCCCAGAGGAAAGGUGAAUUUGGAUGACAAGAGCCAGGGCUCUGAGGUCCUUCUCAAGUGGAGAGCUCCUCUCCAGGGACAGCCUGGGAGAUGAGGGUGGAAUUGUAUUAGUGAACAGCAGCAUUUCUCAGAAGUUCCUGGGUGUAUGGGAGGGGACAUCCACACACAGAGUUCCCAUCUCCCAGAAUAAUAUUACUACUGGAGAUGUGUGGCCUCUAACAUUCAGACCCAGCAGCCACCACUCCUAAAGCCAGCAUCACCCUCUGUAGCUCACUCCAGACCUCAUCUGGAACAGCCUCUGUUCUUCAAGGAAACCAGGAAGGAAUUUUCCACUUUACACAGCCCCAGAUCAAUACCAAACAAGCAUGUGUUAGAGGGAAGUUUAUAAAUAAAAAACAGGACCAAGUGCCGAGGAAAGGUCAACCAACCAUGACGUGGCAGGAAGUGGUCUGCGUCACUAUGGGGUGCUGAUGGGUGUGGGGGGCCCUGGGGACUGAGGCUCCCUGAGCACAUUCCAUAUUUUGGCAGGCCAGCUCCUCAUGGCAUCCCACGGUUUGCCAAGCACUUUUCACAUGUAUAUCUUCAUCUUGCUUGGUCCUCCGGGGAAAGACCACACCUUCCCGGUCCCUUUAUUUAAUGUGACUGGGUCUUUCCCAGGGCCUCUCUCAUGAGCCGACUCAGGGUAUUUGAGGGGAGAUACCAAAGGUAGUGGGUUUUGUGGCUGACUCAGUCAUUAUGGGAAGGUGAAUGUAAAGGUAACCCAGCGACUCAGCACCUGUAUUUCACCUCUCUGGUCCAAUCUCCGCUCGCAGCCCUACCUCCAGGUCAGUCCCUGGGGAUUCCCAGGGGGGUCUCUAAUUCCCUCAAGCCAGGGUCUUGGAAAGGAGUGAUGAGGGUUUACAGCUAAUUCAUAGUAUUAAAAAACUUUGUGAAUCAUUAAAUUAUAAAUUGGCCUGUGAUGAAGGCACACUGGCUCCUUGGAAACUGACUUCACUUUGCUUGGAGUAGAAUUCUGGAGCCCACCCCCAAGGGCUAGGGAUAGGACCCCAUUGACCUCAUAUUUGCGCCAAGCCCAGCUGGAGAAACGGGAGAGAAUUGAGGGUGGCCUUCAGCGUUCCCAUAAACUACCUUUUUGUCCCUUAGCCGUUGAACUCUUAAACCUCCUUUCUUAUACAAAUUUGGACUUGAGACCAUGAGCGGAGCUGUUACCUGCCAACCUGCCUACAUGUCAGCGGUGAUGCCAGGCUACUUCAAUUAUUUGUAUUCUUGCUGCAUUGCAUCCCUAUUAUUUCAUUAGGAAUUAGUAGAACUUUAAAAAGUUUCUUUGCAUCUCGAUUUCUCUCUCCAACAUGAGAGUCGUUAUUCCUCAUGGAGGAUUCGCUAGUUUAAUUAAAACAGGCUGUUUCUCCUAUUGCACCCAAGAGGAAAAUGGGCAUUACUGAUCUGUUCCGCACUCUGUCCCCUCACUCGCUGCCGUUCUCUUCUCUGGGCUGGUCUCUGAAGGCUGCCUGCAGUGCUGGAGUGGGCAGGGUGGCUGCGGGCUGGCUGAGGACGCUUCGUCCUUCCUUCUGCGGAGUGCAUGUGAGACCAGGCCACGCCAGGAAACCCCCUGAGGGCAGUGGGCACCACCUCUGGCCACUUGACUAACCCCGGGGCAGUAAGAUCUGGACCGCAAAGGGCCAUUUCCCUCUGCAGGAUGGAGGCAGCCAGAGGCAGCCACAGUGUGGGGAGAGUGGGAGAGGUACGGGGACGUGUCCUCUCUGAAGGGUGUGCCUGUGAAUUUUAGAAAAUGGAUUCUCUAGCAAUUAAUUAUUUAUAAAUGAAUGACCACACUCACAGGACAUCAGUCGAGGCUGUCAGCAAAAUAGAAAGCUGACCCGUCAGACGAAAAGGUAUUUUCUGGAAACCUCUGACUUCCCGGAGACCAGCACUGUUGGUAAAUUCUUUAACUGGAGUUUUAUAAGUCAAAAAGCUUCCCUCUUUCCAACAUGUGUCACUACUUUCUUUUUAUUGAAAAGUAUCAAAAAUGUAAUAGUAGUAAUGAAUUAUAGUAGCCAUUUUUUAAUGCUGUUAUUCUUAAAAUGUAUUUUAUGUCCUACCUCAGAGCAAUGGGGAGGCAAUGGGAAGGCAAUGGGAAGGCAAUAGGGAGGCAUAGCUUAAUGGGCACAGAAUUUCAGCUUGAGAGGAUGAAACAAUUCUGGAAUGGAUGGUGGUGAUGGCCGCACAACAGUGUGAAUGUACUUAAUGCCACUUAAAAAUUGUUAAAAUGGUGAAUUUUAUGUUCAUAUAGUUUACCGAAAUAAAAAUUUUAAAAAGCAAAUGUUAAAUAAAGAGUGGACCAAUGUCAAGUCGAGGCCUCCAUAGGAUGCUAAACAAAUGUGUAAUGUGAGGUCACCUUGGAACAUAAACUCUUCAAAGACAGGAGUGGGUUCCUUAGCACCUGAAAGUCCAUCCCACACUGGGUACCACCCAUCGCCUGUGAACGAGGGCACAGCACCUCCUAACCCACCCUGCUCCCCAUGCCAUCCUAAGACCACAGGCCUCCUGACACCCUCUGGCUCCCUCUCUCGCCCCUGCCGGCUGGCUCUCAGGGCUGACUCCCUUCCAGCCCCCACUGACUGCUUACUAAGUCUCAGUGUCAACAACCCACAGCUUCAGAAGGUUGAGCUAUGCCUAAUUCCCUCAGGCCAGGGUCUUGGAAAAAAGUGAUGAGGGUUUACAGCUAAUUUUUAGUAUUAAAAACCUUUAAUCAUUAAGUUAUAAAUUGGCCUGUGACAAGGGCACAUUGGCUCAUUGGAAACUGACUUUGCCUUGCUUGGACUAUAAUUCUAUCAUCUGUGUGCUAAUUGCGUCUCUCACAGGCUGCUCAGAAUUCUGGUUGACAUGUGUCUAAAAGAGAGAGAAAAGGAAUUCCUGCUUGCUUUAGUUUGACAGAUAAAGCCUCUCAAACAUGGAAGGGUGACCAAGAGGCAGUCAUGGCCACUCCCGUGGGUCCCCACUGGUCUAGGUGACUUUUAACUUGCUUCUGGAAGCAAAGUGCUAAGGCUGUGUUUGCAGCUCUUUGUCUGCACUGACAGAGUGAGAGAGACGCAGACACAGCAAAUGACCCCUGAGCAUGGGGCCCUGAAGACACUGGACAGGCGUGGACAAAUACUGCUAUCCUUGCCAACCCUCUCCUGGUGCUAGACUGCCCUCCUGUGGUCCCCCGACAGCACAGGCUCCCAUCUCAGACUCUAUGGGUGCCACAUCAUGGGCAAACUUCCGGGCAUGUCCACUGCCAUUUCUAAAACCCUCCAUGUCCUGUUCUCAAGGGGCCCAAGUGCUGUAUCCAUCCAGGCCUCAGUGAGUGGGCAUGUGUCAAUAAGCCCAUAGGCUAAAGAGGGCCUUCUGCAGAAGCCGUGUGUUUCCCUGAAGAAGCAGCUCUGAUCGAAGCAAACAAAUGACAACAAACACAACAGAUCCUCUCACUAGUACGCAACUGCCAGCUUCAGAGCAGACGGCCCCGAUGAAACGUGUCCUCCUCCAGCUGUGAGCCACCACGCAAUGAUAGACCCUCCAUCAGUGCGUGACAAACCUCGUGUCCUCCCACCCGCUCACCUGCGGUGCGGUAGCAAGGUGUGUGCUGCAGC